UACGGGGGGGGCAAGCGUUGUUCGGAAUUACUGGGCGUAAGGGCUCGUAGGCGGCCAACUAAGUCGGAUGUGAAAUCCCCAGGCUCAACUUGGGAACUGCAUCCGAUACUGGAUGGCUUGAAUUCGGGAGAGGGAUGCAGAAUUCCAGGUGUAGCGGUGAAAUGCGUAGAUAUCUGGAGGAAUACCGGUGGCGAAGGCGGCAUCCUGGACCGACAUUGACGCUGAGGAGCGAAAGCUAGGGGAGCAAACGGG
Molecule: ribosomal RNA, 252 nt
Filed under: uncultured bacterium
Lineage: Bacteria
Description: partial 16S ribosomal RNA
Rfam family: Bacterial small subunit ribosomal RNA
Source: RNAcentral